GACGAACGCUGGCGGCGUGCUUAACACAUGCAAGUCGAACGCUGAAGCUUGGUGCUUGCACUGGGUGGAUGCGUGGCGAACGGGUGCGUAAUACUUACGUAACCUGCCCUUGACUCUGGGAUCAGCCUGCGAAACCUGGUCUAAUACUGGAUAUCACAUGCCACUGCAUGGUGGUGUGUGGUAAGGGUUUUACUGGUUUUGUAUGGGCUCACGGCCUAUCAGCUUGUUGGUGGGGUAAUGGCCUACCAAGGCGACGACGGGUAGCCGGCCUGAGAGGGUGACCGGCCACACUGGGACUGAGACACGGCCCAGACUCCUACGGGAGGCAGCAGUGGGGAAUAUUGCACAAUGGGCGGAAGCCUGAUGCAGCGACGCCGCGUGAGGGAUGACGGCCUUCGGGUUGUAAACCGCUUUCAGCACGGAAGAAGCGAGAGUGACGGUACGUGCAGAAGAAGCGCCGGCUAACUACGUG
This 472-nucleotide ribosomal RNA is filed under the name uncultured bacterium. RNAcentral describes it as "partial 16S ribosomal RNA". It matches the Rfam family "Bacterial small subunit ribosomal RNA", at positions 28 to 507 of the family's 1533-position model. The record is from RNAcentral.